RNAcentral lists this microRNA (22 nucleotides) under Monodelphis domestica (gray short-tailed opossum). RNAcentral's name for it is "mdo-miR-7385i-3p". The record is from miRBase by way of RNAcentral. Lineage: Eukaryota; Metazoa; Chordata; Mammalia; Didelphimorphia; Didelphidae.
GAACACAGGCUAGCUGAUCUGG